Molecule: non-coding RNA, 483 nt
Organism: Paramuricea clavata
Lineage: Eukaryota; Metazoa; Cnidaria; Anthozoa; Malacalcyonacea; Plexauridae
Source: the annotation of a GenBank genome assembly
AGUCGGAUAGAUUUUGAGUUCUUUGAAGGCAUCUAUUAUUUCUGUGGAUCCAGCUUCCUUUCAUUUACCCAUCCAGUCUAUAAUUUGAUUUUGAGAUCAAAUAACUCAUAAAUCGGAAAUUCACAGAAAGUCAGAAGAAGCUUCCCCGAUGUCGAAGCAGGAUGCUUCCGGGUUGAAUUUUUGUGUUGAAAUGGCCACAAACGGUCAUUCGGGCUACCCAUUGAAGUGGUUUAAAGACCAGAAUGCUGCAAGACAUUCUUGGGAAUGUGUUAUUUGUUUGGAAGUUUUAAAAGAUCCCGUCCAAGUGCGAGACUGUGGACAUCAAUUUUGUGCCCUCUGCAUUGACGAUAUUCUCAAGUAAGUUUCACUUUUUUAAAAUCAUAUUUUAAAAUAUAUUUCAAAGUAGAGUGUUUCUAUGGGUUGUAAUAUAAACCCCUUGCCUUCUUGGUACGUUUCCUGGUAGACAAAGGUUUUUCAAAAGCU